This is a long non-coding RNA of Suricata suricatta (meerkat), 418 nucleotides long. RefSeq lists it as uncharacterized. The transcript is spliced from 4 exons. NCBI's taxonomy places the organism in Eukaryota, Metazoa, Chordata, Mammalia, Carnivora, Herpestidae. The record is from RefSeq and is a predicted model, not a curated record.
UAUUACAAACUUGGGCACAACAGUAGGACAUCCCUACUUGAUAAUUAGCUUUAAUCAGAGCAAUAGUAAGAGAAUUAUUUUCAUAACAGGAGGUAGUUUUAAAUUUGGAGCAAGCCUUUCUGCCAAAAGGGUCUGUUCGCUGAAAAGCAAAGCAAGAAGGGACAUAUUUCAUGACUCUCCUUUGAAAUUGCUCUUGGAAUGCUCGCUUCAGCAGCAGAUGUCCAGUUGGUGAUAGGAUUUGGAGACCAGUACAUAUCAGCCAAGGACCCAUCAAGGUACUUUCUCAGAAUUCACCAUCUGUGCAGUUAAGUAAGAUGAAGUACUCUGUUCCUGAUCACAGCAUAUCCUUGGGUGGUUCGUUUUAGGACUACAGUGUCAUGAUGUUGAUAGUGAAGUGAUUAUUUGUUGUUAUCGUUAU